GCCCUGGUGGCACAAUGGUUCAGUGCUGGUACUGCAGCUAACCAUAAGGUUGUGAGUUCAAUACCACCCAGGGCU
This is a non-coding RNA of Phrynosoma platyrhinos (Desert horned lizard), 75 nucleotides long. NCBI's taxonomy places the organism in Eukaryota, Metazoa, Chordata, Lepidosauria, Squamata, Phrynosomatidae. The record is from the annotation of a GenBank genome assembly.